UCUGGCACCUUCGGUGUCCGAGUUGUAAUCUCUAGAAAUGUUUUCCGCGUUGGACCGCACACAAGUCUGUUGGAAUACAGCGGCAUAGUGGUGAGACCCCCGUAUAUGGUGCGGACGCCCAGCGCUUUGUGAUACAUUUUCGAAGAGUCGAGUUGUUUGGGAAUGCAGCUCAAAUUGGGUGGUAAAUUCCAUCUAAAGCUAAAUAUUGGCGAGAGACCGAUAGCGAACAAGUACCGUGAGGGAAAGAUGAAAAGCACUUUGGAAAGAGAGUUAACAGUACGUGAAAUUGUUGGAAGGGAAACGCUUGAAGUCAGACUUGCUUGCCGAGCAAUCGGUUUGCAGGCCAGCAUCAGUUUUCCGGGAUGGAUAAUGGUAGAGAGAAGGUAGCAGUUUCGGCUGUGUUAUAGCUCUCUGCUGGAUACAUCUUGGGGGACUGAGGAACGCAGUGUGCCUUUGGCGGGGGUUUCGACCUCUUCACACUUAGGAUGCUGGUGGAAUGG
RNAcentral lists this ribosomal RNA (500 nucleotides) under Rhodotorula mucilaginosa. RNAcentral describes it as "eukaryotic LSU rRNA". It matches the Rfam family "Eukaryotic large subunit ribosomal RNA", at positions 121 to 637 of the family's 3401-position model. The record is from RNAcentral. Lineage: Eukaryota; Fungi; Basidiomycota; Microbotryomycetes; Sporidiobolales; Sporidiobolaceae.